UACGUAGGGUGCAAGCGUUAAUCGGAAUUACUGGGCGUAAAGCGUGCGCAGGCGGUUUUGUAAGUUUGUCGUGAAAGCCCCGAGCUCAACUUGGGAAUUGCGGUUGAAACUGGCGAACUAGAAUCUGGCAGAGGGGGGUGGAAUUCCACGUGUAGCAGUGAAAUGCGUAGAGAUGUGGAGGAACACCGAUGGCGAAGGCAGCCCCCUGGGCUAAGAUUGACGCUCAGGCACGAAAGCGUGGGGAGCAAACAGG
This 253-nucleotide ribosomal RNA is filed under the name uncultured bacterium. RNAcentral describes it as "partial 16S ribosomal RNA". It matches the Rfam family "Bacterial small subunit ribosomal RNA", at positions 524 to 776 of the family's 1533-position model. The record is from RNAcentral.